UGCUGGUCCGAGGGUAGUGAGUUAUCUCAUUAGAUUGUUCAGAGUCAGUUACAGAUUGAACUCCUUUUACUCUUUCCCCCUUCUCACUACUGCACUUGCUUAGUCUUAA
This 109-nucleotide Y RNA is filed under the name Prolemur simus (greater bamboo lemur). Its description in RNAcentral is "Y RNA (ENSPSMG00000010096.1)". It matches the Rfam family "Y RNA". Rfam says of the family: Y RNAs are components of the Ro ribonucleoprotein particle (Ro RNP), in association with Ro60 and La proteins. The Y RNAs and Ro60 and La proteins are well conserved, but the function of the Ro RNP is not known. The record is from Rfam by way of RNAcentral. Lineage: Eukaryota; Metazoa; Chordata; Mammalia; Primates; Lemuridae.